Molecule: ribosomal RNA, 253 nt
Filed under: uncultured bacterium
Lineage: Bacteria
Description: partial 16S ribosomal RNA
Rfam family: Bacterial small subunit ribosomal RNA
Source: RNAcentral
UACGUAGGGUGCGAGCGUUGUCCGGAAUUACUGGGCGUAAAGAGCUCGUAGGCGGUUUGUCGCGUCGUCCGUGAAAACUUGGGGCUCAACCCCAAGCUUGCGGGCGAUACGGGCAGACUAGAGUUCGGCAGGGGAGACUGGAAUUCCUGGUGUAGCGGUGAAAUGCGCAGAUAUCAGGAGGAACACCGGUGGCGAAGGCGGGUCUCUGGGCCGAUACUGACGCUGAGGAGCGAAAGCGUGGGGAGCGAACAGG